This 497-nucleotide ribosomal RNA is filed under the name uncultured bacterium. RNAcentral's name for it is "partial 16S ribosomal RNA". It matches the Rfam family "Bacterial small subunit ribosomal RNA", at positions 28 to 507 of the family's 1533-position model. The record is from RNAcentral.
GAUGAACGCUGGCGGCGUGCCUAAUACAUGCAAGUCGAGCGAACAGACGAUGAGCUUGCUCCUCUGACGUUAGCGGCUGACGGGUGAGUAACACGUGGAUAACCUUCCUCUAAGACUUGGAUAACUUCGUGAAACCGGAGCUAAUACCGGAUCAUAUAUUGUACCGCUUGGUUCAAUAGUUAAAGACGGUUUUGCUGUCACUUUUAGAUGGAUCCGCGCCGGAUUAGCUAGUUGGUAAGGUAAAGGCUUACCAAGGCGACGAUGCGUAGCCGACCUGAGAGGAUGAUCGGCCACACUGGAACUGAGACACGGUCCAGACUCCUACGGGAGGCAGCAGUGGGGAAUAUUGGACAAUGGGCGCAAGCCUGAUCCAGCCAUACCGCGUGGGUGAAGAAGGCCUUCGGGUCGUAAAGCCCUUUUGUUGGGAAAGAAAAGCAGCAGGUUAAAACCCCGCUGUUCUGACGGUACCCAAAGAAUAAGCACCGGCUAACUUCGUG